UAAUAAUUUGUUAAAAUUUUCGAAUGAACAAGCGUGCACAUCAAUGGAACAUAAUUUCAACAGCGUACUGUUUAACUGACAGAUCUAUUUUUGGAACUUGUACACACUGUGUUGGAUUAUCGGAGUGGAUUAAAACAUGGGCAUUAUUGAUUUUUCGUUUCAUGUUUCUGAGUGACCGGGUCGAUGUCUUUGCAAUAUUGUAAUGGUUAAGUUUCAAUUUUAUUUUUUUAACUACAAAAUGGGGGCGUUUAUUAGAAGUCAAAAGUUCUGAACGCACAAUUUUUGGUAGGGGGCGUUAAUUAGAAGGGGGGCUUUUAAUAGAAUUAAUACGGUAUCUGAAAUUUAAA
RNAcentral lists this long non-coding RNA (347 nucleotides) under Mytilus galloprovincialis (Mediterranean mussel). The record is from RNAcentral. Lineage: Eukaryota; Metazoa; Mollusca; Bivalvia; Mytilida; Mytilidae.